CCAGGGCUCAGUGGGGGCAGGGGGUCUUAGCCCCCCCACCGGGGCCUGGCCAGGUGUGAAAAGCCCCAUCCCAGUCAGUGGAGCCACCUGGACCCCCUUCCUCCCCCAGCUCUCUCCAGGUUAACCCUUAACAGCGAGCUUGCCUGCCUGCCACUGCAGCGAUGCUUUCAAAUCCCCUGGGCAUGCGCCGGCGUCUUGUCUCCGCCAGCCCCGCUCUCGCAAAGGGGGCUUGCACCUCUGAGGGGGCUUGCCCCAGGGGGAGGCCAGCGGGGCCAGGCUGGGGGAGAUGGGUGUAGCUCCCCCACAGCUGAGACCUGGACGCAGGCAGACGGAUGCAGCAGCAGGGCACGUCCUGGGCUUUGCCCUGGGGCACUGGGUUGGCCAAGUGCUGGCAGCUGGAGCCCGGCAGCGCCUCUCUGCUGUUGUGGGCCCUGGGCAGGGUGGCGGGAGGGGGUGGGCAGUGACUUCCCCAGCAGCUGCGGGGAAUGGCUCAGAGGGUCACCUGGGAGCACGGGCACCAGGGGCUGCGACUGGGGAGGGGAAGCCUUUGGGAUGGGAAUGGCUGCCUCGACUGGCACAACUCUGUGCCUCGGUUUACCUGUCUGAAGGGAUGGGGCAAGGGGAGCAGUGUCCGAUGCCUGUGUCGUGCUUAGGAGCUGGAGUUUGCGCUGGGUGGCUGGGAGCUUCUGGCAAGUGGCUGUGCCCAGUGCUCUGCUGUGCCCUGAGCAG
Molecule: long non-coding RNA, 729 nt
Organism: Gavialis gangeticus (Gharial)
Lineage: Eukaryota; Metazoa; Chordata; Crocodylia; Gavialidae
Exons: 3
Source: RefSeq, a predicted model, not a curated record